This 212-nucleotide long non-coding RNA is filed under the name Phaseolus vulgaris (common bean). RNAcentral's name for it is "long non-coding RNA (PVUL_LNC002596)". The record is from RNAcentral. Lineage: Eukaryota; Viridiplantae; Streptophyta; Magnoliopsida; Fabales; Fabaceae.
UUUUCAGCACCUUAGGCUAUAAAUAGAGGUGCUUCCUUUGUAAAAUUGAGAUUGGAAUUAAUCUAAGAAAACUCUACUCAAAUUUUGAGUGAACUUUGGAGAGCUUUGAGCCUUCUUCUCUAGUCUUAUCUUGAUGGAUCAAUGGAGUCCUCAAGUGGCGGCAUCACUCUCAUCUAGGAGCAUUCCACACUUUUAGUGGCGAGAUCAUCCAU